ACCUUCACCGGAAGGAAAGGGCUUCAAACAUACCAUCAAGUUGGAAACUUGCUUAUUACAUGACAUGCGAACAUAGUUCAUCUUCAAGAGUGACAAAAUCAAAUGCAGCCGCCCAACAAAAUGGCCUCAAUCUCUUCUUCUGAAAUUGGGGUGCGCUUUGGCAGGAGAGAAGCCUUCCCACCUCCAGCAGUAUGGGAUGGUGGUGGAGGAACAUCCGACCUGUAUCUAUAGCUUCGAGUCUCGGUAGUUGUUGAGCUCUUUUCUGGCUGGGCGGAUUGAGAGAAAAGCUUCUGACCGGCAGCCGCGGGAGAGGAUCCGGAUCCUGAGGGCUUUACGUGCCUCUGAGGG
This 348-nucleotide unclassified non-coding RNA is filed under the name Hevea brasiliensis (rubber tree). The record is from RNAcentral. Lineage: Eukaryota; Viridiplantae; Streptophyta; Magnoliopsida; Malpighiales; Euphorbiaceae.